Molecule: ribosomal RNA, 571 nt
Filed under: uncultured Debaryomyces
Lineage: Eukaryota; Fungi; Ascomycota; Saccharomycetes; Saccharomycetales; Saccharomycetaceae
Description: eukaryotic LSU rRNA
Rfam family: Eukaryotic large subunit ribosomal RNA
Source: RNAcentral
AAACCAACAGGGAUUGCCUUAGUAACGGCGAGUGAAGCGGCAAAAGCUCAAAUUUGAAAUCUGGCACCUUCGGUGUCCGAGUUGUAAUUUGAAGAAGGUAACUUUGGAGUUGGCUCUUGUCUAUGUUCCUUGGAACAGGACGUCACAGAGGGUGAGAAUCCCGUGCGAUGAGAUGCCCAAUUCUAUGUAAAGUGCUUUCGAAGAGUCGAGUUGUUUGGGAAUGCAGCUCUAAGUGGGUGGUGAAUUCCAUCUAAAGCUAAAUAUUGGCGAGAGACCGAUAGCGAACAAGUACAGUGAUGGAAAGAUGAAAAGAACUUUGAAAAGAGAGUGAAAAAGUACGUGAAAUUGUUGAAAGGGAAGGGCUUGAGAUCAGACUUGGUAUUUUGCGAUCCUUUCCUUCUUGGUUGGGUUCCUCGCAGCUUACUGGGCCAGCAUCGGUUUGGAUGGUAGGAUAAUGACUAAGGAAUGUGGCUCUACUUCGGUGGAGUGUUAUAGCCUUGGUUGAUACUGCCUGUCUAGACCGAGGACUGCGUCUUUUGACUAGGAUGUUGGCAUAAUGAUCUUAAGCCAC